This 460-nucleotide ribosomal RNA is filed under the name uncultured bacterium. RNAcentral's name for it is "partial 16S ribosomal RNA". It matches the Rfam family "Bacterial small subunit ribosomal RNA", at positions 338 to 795 of the family's 1533-position model. The record is from RNAcentral.
CCUACGGGCGGCAGCAGUGAGGAAUAUUGGUCAAUGGGCUUACGCCUGAUCCAGCCAAGUCGCGUGAGGGAAGACUUCCCUCUGGGUUGUAAACCUCUUUUGUCAGGGAGCAAUUGGCGCUACGUGUAUCGUUAUCGAGAGUACCUGAAGUAAAAGCAUCGGCUAUCUCGGUGCCAGCAGCCGCGGUAUUACGGUGGAUGCGAGCGUUAUCCGGAUUUAUUGGGUUUAAAGGAUGCGUAGGCGGACUGCCAAGUCAGCGGUAAAAUCGCGGGGUGAAACGUCGCUCUGCCGUUGAAACUGGCGAUCUAGAGUGGGCGAGAAGUAUGCGGAAUGCGUGGUGUAGCGGUGAAAUGCAUAGAUAUUACGAAGAACUCCGAUGGCGAAGGCAGCAUACCGGCGCCCAACUGACGCUGAGGCACGAAAGCGUGGGUAUCGAACAGGAUUAGAUACCCCUGUAGUC